CUCAUAACUCUGUAUAAUGAGGGAUAUUGAACUCUCCUAAACUAAAGGACAUGGGAGAGCUCACCUGUGGGCUCAUAACUCUGUAUAAUGAGGGAUAUUGAACUCUCCUAAACUAAAGGACAUGGGAGAGCUCACCUGUGGGCUCAUAACUCUGUAUAAUGAGGGAUAUUGAACUCUCCUAAACUAAAGGGCAUGGGAGAGCUCACCUGUGGGCUCAUAACUCUGUAUAAUGAGGGAUGUUGAACUCUCCUAAACUAAAGGACAUGGGAGAGCUCACCUGUGGGCUCAUAACUCUGUAUAAUGAGGGAUAUUGAACUCUCCUAAACUAAAGGACAUGGGAGAGCUCACCUGUGCCAAAAUAACUGAAUAUUGAGGGAUGCUGAACUCUCUUUAUCUUGUCAUUCCUUUUUUUAGUUCCUUAAUUCUCAGAAAGGGAAAAUAAAUCCUGGAUAAUGUUGGAUCAUACGGUGAAAGACAGAGAAAGACUUUUAAAUUAAAAUGUGUUUUUAAUUUAGUUAAAACAUUUAACUUGAUAAUGAAGCAUUGGGUGCUGUGACCAACUUUCUCUUAAAAAAAAAAAUGUUUACUUCAUUUUUAUUAUUUCGUCAAACAGGGAUCUUCUUUAACGACCUCAGACUAAAGGUCACGAUGAGGUUAGAGGUCACAACCUUUCUCAAACAGGAAGUUUUUUUCUUCUUCUCAGAAGCACAAAUGAUCUUCGAGGUGAAUAUGGGAGACGGAAAAGAAGAACACCCACGCGUUGAUGUAAAGUGUGUGCGUUGUGGGAACACUUAAAGCCUCGUGAAACAUGCCUGAUCUCGCGAUAGCUCUUGUUCUGUUUCACGGUGAAGUGAAAGGAAACGUGAGCGGUGCAGCGGUCUGUCUCCUUAUCCAGGUUAUUGGCCGACCAUAGUUAGAUAGAGGACUCUCUAAAGACCCUCUUACCUUACUAGGUACUCUAUCUAACUCUAUGGGUCUGCCAGUCGUUCUCUCUCGCUACUAUGUGCUGUGAAGUGUAUGAUGAUAAUAGUGUAGCUGUAAUCUCUCUCAUCACUCUUCUGUGUGAUGGCUCGUCCAGUGUAGUCUUGGUAUUGCUCUCUUCUCUCCUGUGUGUGCUGUCUGUACGUACAGUACAGUGGUCUGUGUGUGCGGUUGCCAGCAAAUUAAGGGUCGUUAUUAUUAUCCAAUCUUCAUCUAAGAAACACACACACACACUAACAUUCAUUGCAGACCCACACAUUGCAGACAUACACACACAUACACACACUAUUCUUUAUAUCUAGACAUUGUCCUGUGAACUGUCACUCACACACCAUAGAACUACAGUACCCAUACACCCUCACUCCUGUACAUUUGACACUGGUUAGCAUUUGCAUCAUGGGAAAUGUAGUGUAUUAACUAGAGGGAUUUCCAGUUAAAUGGGAGAAAGAUUCCAUAGGAAUGAUCGUUCAAACGAUCUUGAUUAACUCGCUCUGGGUAGAAGUUGCCUUUAACCACAGAUCUAGGAUCAAUUUACUCUCCCAUUAUCCUAAUCUUAACCAUUAGGCGGAACACAAAACAUUUCUUAGAUCAGUGUCUAGUAAGCAACUUCAUCCUACCAUGACAAGCUCAGUGUGUGUGUGUAUAAUUUACUGUGAAUGAAAGACCACUUCUCUGUCGUUUUCAGCGAGACAAUCGUUACUGGCGUGAUUCCACUCGUUUUUAAUAUUCUGCUUAUCACGUCACCAUGACAACGCUACCUAUACUACGGCGUUUGCACGACAGGAGAGGACAAAAAAAAUACUGUUGGAAACUAAGAACCAAUGGCCUUUUCUUAAACUUGUAACAAUCUAAUAACUCUUCAUAUCACACGUUUUCAUUUGUCUGUCUUCUAAAAAAUGAAUCAUAAAAAAACAAUAGCUCGCUCUUUUGUAGGCUAAUAAUAAUUAUGGCAAGAGCACCAUUUGUUUUCUGUUUUUCUUUAUAAUAAUGCUGAAUGACUGUCUUGAAUUGCAUUUUUUUUUUUUAUAAAACCGUACUGUAGACUUGUUAAUUUUUGAUGGUUGUUUUUAUGUCCCCGGCGACAACAACGGUUUACUAAGAUGAUAAUACUGUCUGUUCUAAACUGUGGUGGUGACAUUAUUGAGCCUGGAAUCCAUGUUUUAAAAACAGAAUUAAAACAACUUUAACUGACUCAGAACGACUGGAGUGGUUUGUUAUUGAAUUUGACACCUCUCUCUCCCUCUCCCUCUCCCUCUCCCUCUCCCUCCCUGUCUCUGUAAUGACACAUUCACUGACAGUAGAUGGCGAUAUUCCUGUACGU
RNAcentral lists this long non-coding RNA (2302 nucleotides) under Salmo salar (Atlantic salmon). RNAcentral's name for it is "lncRNA (ENSSSAG00000111494.1)". Lineage: Eukaryota; Metazoa; Chordata; Actinopteri; Salmoniformes; Salmonidae. The record is from RNAcentral.